GUGUGCGUGUGCGUGUGCGUGUGCGUGUGCGUGUGCGUGUGCGUGUGCGCGUGUACAGUGUAUACAAUGGAUACCUAGGGAUGAGAAUUAAUGAGGAGACGAUUUGGACCUCAUUAGACUCUCUCCGACCAUCUCGAUAUCAAGUACGAGCUUCAAACAGAUAAAAGUCAGAUGAUAAAAGAUUGUAUCACAAGAGCCUGGUUAUCUAAUAAGGCAAAUUAUUUGAGGAUUGGUACCGUGAUAUCUAAAAUAGUCCAGAAUAUAUUGCUCAAUUAAACUCGGUAUAAACUAAGCAAAAGAGCGAAAUGUAAGUCUAUAAGAAGCGACAAGAAUAUAUUGGAGGAAAGUAGCAAAUAAGACUAAUGAGAGUGAGACAACUAAACGAGAUGAGGGAUAAGCGAUUGCCUUUCUUUUUUUCUUUUGUUUUUUUUUUUUUUUUUUUGUAUUUUGUAGUGGCAUUUGAUCGGACAAAGAGAUGGCGAAUGCUGCCUUCUCCGACUAUGUGAACCCCUCUGGAAUUGCUCUUAGGAGUCUGAAACCAGAGGCGAACGUAGCGCCGCUCUAAUCAAACGUUCAAGCCCUCCUAAUUGCCUUGGUUAUUCAAUUGCAUCCGCAAGUGUGCCGUUUGGCUACCCUCACAAUUAGUAUAUUUCAAAUCAAUUCAAUUAAGUUCAAGCUGAUCCGAGUUCGAGCAUCUAUUACU
This is a long non-coding RNA of Cephus cinctus (wheat stem sawfly), 703 nucleotides long. RefSeq lists it as uncharacterized. The transcript is spliced from 3 exons. The record is from RefSeq and is a predicted model, not a curated record. NCBI's taxonomy places the organism in Eukaryota, Metazoa, Arthropoda, Insecta, Hymenoptera, Cephidae.